GUCAAAGGUCAAUUAAGAUAAUUAAAGCAUGGAGAUUAAAAGUUACCGCUAUGCAAUUGUUAUUUUCUAUAUAUUUGCUUCGAUUAUGUUGGAAGAAUAAACAUAAAAUAAAAUGAGGUAUUGUUAAUGUAUUGAUGAGGCAGCAACCCAAUGACAAAAAUAACAAAACGGUGUUAAAAGGGCAACAUACAACCCUAAGCAAUAGACAAACGUCUUUUUUUUAUCGUACCAAACAUAAAAAAUAAAUGUAAAAGAAGUUAACUAAAACAAUCGAAAAUAAACCUGCAAAAAAUACACCCACCAAAUUGAAUGUCUCAAUAUAACCCCAAAAAACAUUAGCAGUGGCGGAUCCAGAACUUUUCCUAAAGGGGGGCACUGACUGACCUAAGGGGGGCCCGCUCCAGUCAUGUUUCAGUGAUUCACUAUAUAAUCAACCAUAUUUUUCCCAC
This 449-nucleotide long non-coding RNA is filed under the name Mytilus galloprovincialis (Mediterranean mussel). Lineage: Eukaryota; Metazoa; Mollusca; Bivalvia; Mytilida; Mytilidae. The record is from RNAcentral.